Molecule: long non-coding RNA, 503 nt
Organism: Canis lupus familiaris (dog)
Lineage: Eukaryota; Metazoa; Chordata; Mammalia; Carnivora; Canidae
Exons: 3
Source: RefSeq, a predicted model, not a curated record
UGGAAACAGUCCCAGCCCUUGACUUCCGGGAAAGGGAGAGGGUCUAGAGAUGGAGUUCAAUCACUAAUGGCCAAUGAUUUAAUCAAGCAUGGCUUUGUAAUGAAGUCUCUAUAAAAACCCAAAAGGAUAGAGUUUUGACAGCCUCCAGGUUGGUGAACAAAUGGAGAUUUGGGGAGAGUGGCAUGCUCAGAGCCAGCAUGGGAUCUCCUCACCCUUGCCCAAUACCUCGCCUUAUACAUUUCUUCCAUCUGGCUGUUCUUGAGUUAUAUCCUUUUAUAAUAAAUUGGUGAUCUGACCUCUGAAGUGCACGGCGUGUCUAUUUCAGACCCAGCCCUGGAUGCUUCACCUGCUGCGUGUGUUUAGGAACGCAAAUCUGGACCUUCAGCCUCACCCACGAGAAGGUGCUGAGCCUGACCUCGCAGUCAAGACCCCUGGAGAAGAUCAAGCUGAACACAGCAUCAAGUCAGAAAGCCACAAAAGGGCUUCGACCUUUUUCAAAUAAA